RNAcentral lists this ribosomal RNA (293 nucleotides) under uncultured bacterium. Its description in RNAcentral is "partial 16S ribosomal RNA". It matches the Rfam family "Archaeal small subunit ribosomal RNA", at positions 455 to 747 of the family's 1478-position model. The record is from RNAcentral.
GUGCCAGCCGCUGCGGUAAUACCGGCAGCCCGAGUGAUGGCCGAUCUUAUUGGGCCUAAAGCGUCCGUAGCUGGGUCUGAAAGUCCAUCGGGAAAUCCACUCGCUCAAUGAGUGGCCGUCCGGUGGAAACUGCACGGCUUGGGACCGGAAGGCGCGACGGGUACGUCCGGGGUAGGAGUGAAAUCCCAUAAUCCCGCACGGACCACCGAUGGCGAAAGCACUUCGAGAAAACGGAUCCGACAGUGAGGGACGAAAGCCAGGGUCUCCAACCGGAUUAGAUACCCCAGUAGUCC